RNAcentral lists this transfer RNA (85 nucleotides) under Felis catus (domestic cat). It matches the Rfam family "tRNA". Rfam says of the family: Transfer RNA (tRNA) molecules are approximately 80 nucleotides in length. Their secondary structure includes four short double-helical elements and three loops (D, anti-codon, and T loops). RNAcentral also lists the same sequence under 2 other names. The record is from Rfam by way of RNAcentral. Lineage: Eukaryota; Metazoa; Chordata; Mammalia; Carnivora; Felidae.
GCCUAGGUAGCUCAGUCAGUCAAGUGCCUGACUUCGGCUCAGGUAAUGAUCUCAUGAUUCGUGGGUUUGAGCCCCAUAUCAGGCU